Molecule: transfer RNA, 71 nt
Filed under: Candidatus Woesearchaeota archaeon
Lineage: Archaea; Nanobdellati; Candidatus Woesearchaeota
Description: tRNA-Gly
Rfam family: tRNA
About the family: Transfer RNA (tRNA) molecules are approximately 80 nucleotides in length. Their secondary structure includes four short double-helical elements and three loops (D, anti-codon, and T loops).
Source: RNAcentral
ACGGCUUUGGUCUAUCGGCAAGACACGAGCUUCCCAAGCUUGGAAGGCGGGUUCAAUUCCCGCAAGCCGUA